GCCCGGGUGGCGAAACUGGCAGACGCACGGGACUUAAAAUCCCGAGCUCCGAAAGGGGCGUGCCGGUUCAAGUCCGGCCCCGGGCACCA
RNAcentral lists this transfer RNA (89 nucleotides) under Terriglobia bacterium. RNAcentral's name for it is "tRNA-Leu". It matches the Rfam family "tRNA". Rfam says of the family: Transfer RNA (tRNA) molecules are approximately 80 nucleotides in length. Their secondary structure includes four short double-helical elements and three loops (D, anti-codon, and T loops). Lineage: Bacteria; Pseudomonadati; Acidobacteriota; Terriglobia. The record is from RNAcentral. RNAcentral also lists the same sequence under 3 other names.